GGGGUGGGGUACGCUGCAGAGGGAGGAAACGGGAGAGGCUGAAGGCACAAGCUGGAAAUGAGUCCCAAGCACAGAGGCUGGACAUGGGACCUGAGGCCCAGAGCAGGAGAGACAGACAAUACAGCGCUAUUGAACUGAUGUUAAUCCAAUCCAGAAUCAGGCAAUGGAGCAUGUGUUUGGAAAAGGAAAAGUCUAUUCUUCCCCCAAACUGUAAUAGCAAUUUUCAAAACAGCCUGGAAGGAACAUUUCCAAGAGUUUAUAAAAACCAAAUGACUUCAAGCAAGAAAGUAUGAGUGUUUGCAGUUUUGGAGAAAAGAAAGUUAAUUUCUGCAGAGUCAAAAGCACGCACUUGAAAAGAGGGAAAUUUUUACCAUAAAGAGGAUGUUCAGAAGAAAAAUGGGAAGAAUCUGGUAUAAAGAGUGUCACUGAGUCUGUGAUGUUGAAAAGCGAAAAGCUGAAGCUCGGAGGGAGAUGGAGGAGGAAGACAAGGAACCCAGCCGGCUGAAAAAAAAAUGAAGAAAGUGACGGCAUCUGGCCAGCAGAGGACCCGGAUAUAUGUGCUGCAUGGACAAGGGGCAGCCCCACACGUGAUAUCAUCCACAUGAGUUUAAAGCCUGCACUUGUCUCAUGAGGCAAGACCUUCAGGCUGUCUUUAGCAUCUCCUCGAAGGGCUCAAUGCCAAAAGGUACUAAUGUGACCAUCCUCACAGCAAAUAUCUCAUAAAGAAAGGAUCGCUAGGAACUAUAAUAGAAAUGAACAAGCAGAUCUUCUGAACGAGAACAAGGCUGCUUCACAGAGACUGAGAAUUCCCAAGAUCCCCCACUGCAGCUCACUCGCCACACUGGAGACUGAACUGAGACUCUGGAGCCAAUCUGAGCUAUCUACUUAUCUCAAGAAACCAAUCAAGGAAAA
Peromyscus maniculatus bairdii (prairie deer mouse) is the source of this 912-nucleotide non-coding RNA. The record is from RefSeq and is a predicted model, not a curated record. NCBI's taxonomy places the organism in Eukaryota, Metazoa, Chordata, Mammalia, Rodentia, Cricetidae.